GUCCCACUGUCGUUAUGCUAAAUAAAAGCUAAAGCACUUAACGGGUGAUAGAUGUUUGUCUUCUUUUCAUAGUUUGUAUGUGUUGUGCCAGAUCAUCUGCCGCUGCCCGGCAGCCUGUGCCACUGGAGCGGCGGGGAGGUGUGGUGCCUAAUGCCCCCUGCUGAUCUGGACGUGGCAGCCUCUCCAGUGUCCAGACUUCUGAAUCCAGGAGCCACUGCUUAACAAGGACGCCUCUCUCAAAUCACCAGGGCUCACACUUCUGUGUCUGCUUUGUGCCACUGGUAAACUUCCCAUGUGCUAUUCCUUCCCUUCUGUAAGCUGCUAACCCCUGAAAUAACAGAUUUGCUGAGGUGUUUUUUCUCUUCUGCGUUGGACCUCUAAGGUACAGUCUAAUUGGGAAGACAAAGUGGGCUUACUGGCUUUGUGUGGUCCUCUGUAUGUACAUCUACAUGUAUGGAUGAACCAAGACUUCUUAGUAUCUCACCCUCCAAUAGAAAAGAAAUAUUUUGUUUAAUGUCUUAGAAAGAAAAAAUCUCUGCCUCUAUAGAAUAACUCUAUACUUCUCUGACUAGAGAACAGAGCUUACCCUCUUGGGUUGUAUAAAAUGUACUCAGAAUGGGGGCCAGAGAGAAAAUCAGUGAUGGGAGAUGCUGUAGACUGAUUUACAGAUAGAUUAGGUAUAUAAAUAUUACAACCAGUAUGGAUGUUUAUGCAUUGUAUAUACUCUCUGUAGUGCCUUUAUCUUAUCCAUAAGCCUAAAUUGUAUCAGAGAUUCCUGAGCAUUCAAAAAUAGGAAAUGUUACAUAACUGAUAAAGAAUAGAAAUAUUCUGAGGAAUAUAACUGCCUUCUUGGGCGUGUGUCAAACCCAUGAUUGCAGAGAAUGGAAAAACAAGUUCAUGGAGUUCAAGCUUUUCCUCCUAUGUAAAAACAAGAGCAAGCUGAAAGAUGGUGUAAGUUUUAUAAUUCAUAUGGUUCAGGUGCCUUUUUCUAGGAGCUGGAAGAAAGAACAUCUUAUUCAUACCGCUACCACUUACCUGUAUUUAAAAAUAUACAACACAAAGGUUCUGUGUAUUCCUGUUGUGUCUUGCACAAUGAAUACAACUUUGAUGGUUUGUGCUGUGUCCAAAACAAAAAGAGUUUCCGUACUUUCUGCUCUAAGAAAAGAUUUUAUCUGAACUGAGUGUACUUAAAAAGGAGAGGGGCAAAAGCACAACUGAAACCAAGCCAUAUUGUUCCCUGUACUCUAAUUCAGCUGAAGAAUAUAAAUUCUGAGCUGAAAUCAAGACAAUCAAAAAGGGAUCCUUCAGUAAGACUGGAUUUUUCACAGAUACAGUAUGUGAGGAGGAAUAUUUCCCCCAGCAUUUUCUUUGCAUAGUGUCAUUUUAUGUGGCUAUCGUGUAGAUAACAGCAGGGAAUUCCACUUAAGUAGAUCCUUAAUGGAUUUAACUAAUGCUUGCUUUGUGAUGCUUUCAGACAGUUCUCCUGUAAUGUGGAUCCUCUAAAUAUUUAAAUCCACCACUGAAGCAUUUAAUAGGAAGAAAGUCUCCUACCACUAGAAUAAAGAAAAGGCUUUCAGCUGGAAACAAUACCAAAACAAAAUCUGAUUUGUACAACUGCAUCAAGAAUCUAAGCCCACUUACUCUCUGUGGCAGCUGAUACAACAAGGACCUGGGGUGCCAGGUAAACAGCAAGCAGUCAUCUGUGUAUUGACACGAUCUCUGUCCUGUCCUGUUUCUUUAUAUCCUCCAUAUUUUUUAAGGUUGUUGGUAGUGAUUAAUGGUUUGAAUGAGCAAUAAAACUGGUAAAUUAA
This is a long non-coding RNA of Pezoporus occidentalis (night parrot), 1811 nucleotides long. RefSeq lists it as uncharacterized. The record is from RefSeq and is a predicted model, not a curated record. Lineage: Eukaryota; Metazoa; Chordata; Aves; Psittaciformes; Psittacidae. The transcript has 2 exons.